GAACGUCAUUUUCCCCGAGCCUUCUUCUCCUCCGAUCCUUGCCCUAACCGCUCCUCGUCGGUUUCUCUUCUUCCCGAGCAUACAAGAACCCUGCCCGAUCCUUCCUCUUCCUCUUCUCUCCCAAUCUCUAGCCGUCUCCACCCGAAGCAUACCUCGGUGCCAACCGAUUGUGACCAUUUUCCCUCUUCCCUAGCGCCGGCAGACGGCCACCCCCUGAACCCUAGCCCUGAUCGCCCUCUCCCAUCGCAUCGCCUCGCCGACGCCGCAUGGAGCAGCACCGACCAUCACUGGAGCGAUCGAGCCUUGCAUCCUCUGUGCCCUAGUUCCUCUCGCGUCACCACCGACGACCACCAUCUGAUUGCUCAACUCUCGCCUUUCUCUCCUUGCGUCGCCUCCGCCCGAUCGCCUGCGGGCUGAUUGCCAGCAGAGCACCGCCUCACUGAGCAGACCCGUUGUCUCCCCGUACAAGCCAGUGCCACCUGAUUGCUGGAGUGGAGGGCGUUCAGGACCCCGAGGCCGAUGCCUUAGUGCCAUCGUCAGAGGUGUGUCUCGUUCCUAUGCUCAGUGUUGGGAGGAUUUACCGAUCACCGACCACAUGAACCCUAGCAGCGUGGAUCGCACUGCCGCGAGUUGCUUCUUCCUUCCCUUUGCUGUGAGCAGCCAACCUCAACACCUCAUUCCUCUGCCCCCUUUUUCCGCGAGGAACUAGGUUGAGGUAAGCUAUGUUUUGUGAAUUAGAGUGUGAUUCGGUGAUGAUUUGGAGCGAUUUGUAGUUCUGAUGUGCAAUCUAGUGUGUAAAUCUCAAACAUCGACGCAUUACAUCCUUCGCUGGGAGUUCAUCACAGCCAUCAACACUAUAACUCGUAGUGUUUUCUUGCUGGCACUCAUAAGGUUGAGGCUGUCCGGAGGAGUUCCAGUCGCUAGUCCCCUGCAGAUCGCAAGGAUAUUUUUAUUGGGUCUUUUGGUUUUAUUUCUUAUUGCACUAUCUGGACUUGUACUAGUUUUGCUUUAUGGAUAUUGUUGGGUUUAUUUUAUUGUCGAUGGAUUUUUAUUGGAUA
Molecule: long non-coding RNA, 1058 nt
Organism: Zingiber officinale
Lineage: Eukaryota; Viridiplantae; Streptophyta; Magnoliopsida; Zingiberales; Zingiberaceae
Exons: 2
Source: RefSeq, a predicted model, not a curated record